Molecule: ribosomal RNA, 1040 nt
Filed under: uncultured bacterium
Lineage: Bacteria
Description: bacterial SSU rRNA
Rfam family: Bacterial small subunit ribosomal RNA
Source: RNAcentral
AGAGUUUGAUCCUGGCUCAGGACGAACGCUGGCGGUGCGCCUAAUGCAUGCAAGUCGAACGGGCAAUGGGGCUUCGGCCCCGGCGCUAGUGGCAGACGGCUGAGUAACACGUAAGUGAUCUGCCCCGGAGAGGGGGAUAAUCCGGAGAAAUCCGGCCUAAUACCCCGUACGUUCAUAUGGUUACGGCCGUAUGAAGAAAGGUUUCGACCGCUCUGGGAGGAGCUUGCGGCCUAUCAGGUAGUUGGCGGGGUAAUGGCCCACCAAGCCUAAGACGGGUAACCGAUGUGAGAGCAUGAUCGGUCAGAGGGGGACUGAGACACGGCCCCCACUCCUACGGGAGGCAGCAGCAGGGAAUCUUGCGCAAUGGGCGAAAGCCUGACGCAGCGACACCGCGUGGGGGAAGAAGGCUUUAGGGUUGUAAACCCCUUUUCUGUGGGAAGAGAUAGGACGGUACCACAGGAAUAAGCAUCGGCUAACUACGUGCCAGCAGCCGCGGUAAUACGUAGGAUGCAAGCGUUGUCCGGAUUUACUGGGCGUAAAGGGUGUGUAGGCGGCAUGUUAAGUCUCAUGUGAAAUCUCCCGGCUCAACUGGGAGCGGUCAUGGGAAACUGGCAAGCUUGAGGGCAGCAGAGGAAAGCGGAAUUCCGGGAGUAGUGGUGGAAUGCGUAGAUACCCGGAGGAACACCAGAGGCGAAGGCGGCUUUCUGGGCUGUGCCUGACGCUGAUACACGAAAGCGUGGGGAGCAAACCGGAUUAGAUACCCGGGUAGUCCACGCCCUAAACGAUGGAUACUAGAUAUAGGGGGUAUCGACCCCUCCUGUGUCGGAGUUAACGCGAUAAGUAUCCCGCCUGGGGAGUACGGCCGCAAGGCUAAAACUCAAAGGAAUUGACGGGUCCCCGCACAAGCGGCGGAGCGUGUGGUUUAAUUCGAUGAUAAGCGAAGAACCUUACCUGGGCUUGACAUGCAUUUGACAACCCAUGAAAAUGGGCUUUCCUUCGGGACAGAUGCACAGAUGUUGCAUGGCUGUCGUCAGCUCGUG